Molecule: long non-coding RNA, 524 nt
Filed under: Phoenix dactylifera (date palm)
Lineage: Eukaryota; Viridiplantae; Streptophyta; Magnoliopsida; Arecales; Arecaceae
Description: long non-coding RNA (PDAC_LNC020524)
Source: RNAcentral
UCAAAAAUUAAACUCAGUUACCAAACUAAUUGUUAUAACCUAAUCUAAUCAAGCAACUCGUCUAUAACCCAUCUUUUUUGAUGAAUGUGUCACAAUCAAAAAUAACUUAAAAUAAGAAGGUAUUGGAAUAUACUUUAUAGAAAUACAUAAAUGACAUACCAAGCAUCCUUAAGUACAAAUAUGAAUUAUUGCUAUGAUAGGCUAUUCUAUAUUGUACCUAGAAUGUUGCAUGUUGAAUGCAGUUAGUUGAAAAUUCUAAGAUAUGUACAAGCCAAAACAAACAAUAUAUUUAUAAAUUGCCUGGAUGAAUUUCUAUAAAAAAAUUGAGUUUUGUAGUAGUAUAGAUACUUAAAAAAAGAAUUAAUUGUACAAUUAAAUCUUGUCCCUUAGUUAUACAAAGGAUAAAUAGGUGGUUUGUUAACCAAUACUAUCCAUUAUUAUUAAGGAGACCCCAAUGCAUGAGGAUACUCCCACUAUAAGGUAUGGAGAGGGUUACGCUUGUGUGCAGAGGCGUUGCUUCCGUA